GCAACUAGCAGACCUUCGGGCUGAAGACCGGGGUGGCCAUCUGCAGUUUCGCCAUGUCCUCAGUGUUCGGCAAGCCCCGAGCUGGCAGCGGGCCCCACAGCGUGCCUCUGGAGGUUAACCUGGCUAUCCUUGGGCGCCGCGGAGCGGGCAAGUCUGCCCUGACUGUGAAGUUUCUCACCAAGAGGUUUAUCAGCGAAUAUGAUCCCAAUUUGGUUGCGAAGAGGGCGCUGGAUUCCCUGGAACUGGACAAGAGACAAAUGCUCUCAACCACUGAACCAUUGCUCCAUCCCUUCCCAUGCUUCCUUAUACGAAG
This 313-nucleotide long non-coding RNA is filed under the name Rattus norvegicus (Norway rat). RNAcentral describes it as "long non-coding RNA NONRATT027805". Lineage: Eukaryota; Metazoa; Chordata; Mammalia; Rodentia; Muridae. The record is from RNAcentral.